RNAcentral lists this long non-coding RNA (8118 nucleotides) under Citrus maxima (pomelo). Its description in RNAcentral is "long non-coding RNA (CMAX_LNC003090)". The record is from RNAcentral. Lineage: Eukaryota; Viridiplantae; Streptophyta; Magnoliopsida; Sapindales; Rutaceae.
AGAAAUUUUUCUCAAGGAUGGAAGAUUCUGGUAGCCAUUUUUCUGUUGGGAUUAAGCUUUCCAUACUCACAAGGUUAUAAUGUCAAAUCUAAAGUCUUUUUGUCACCUAAGUUUGUGCUGGGGCCAGGAUCCGUUGAGAAUAAAUUUUACUAUGGGAUUGACUUUCCGAGAGGUCAUAUUGCUCUAAAGAGUUUUAAUGCAGAAGUAAUUGAUGAGGCAGGAAAUCCCGUUCCUCUUCACGAGACUUAUCUCCACCAUUGGGUCGUUGAAAGAUACUAUGGACGUAAAGAUGCAGAAGUACUGGAGUAUAAUGGCAACAGACUUCUUCGUGAAUCAGAUUACAUUGCAGCGAGAAAUGAUGGCAUAUGCCAGAGGAAUUCUCUUGGGCAGUUUUUUGGCCUUGGCUCUGAGACACGAGGAACAGCAACGCAUAUUCCAGAUCCUUAUGGUAUAGAAAUUGGCAAUCCUGCUACAUUUCCUGCAGGCUAUGAAGAGAGAUGGCUUCUUAAUGUCCAUGCAAUUGAUACACGAGGUGUCGAAGAUAGGUUGGGAUGCACCGAAUGCAAGUGCGAUUUGUACAAUGUUACAGUGGAUGAGUAUGGCCAGCCGCUAAAGCCAAAUUACAGAGGUGGUUUAGCGUGUUGUUACGAUGGUACGCAGUGUAGAUUGUCAAACGGUUUUGAAGGUGCCAGGAGGAGCCUCUAUUUGAGAUAUACCGUAAAGUGGGUUGAUUGGGACACUUCCAUUGUGCCUGUUAAAAUCUACAUAUUUGAUGUCACUGACAAGGAAACACGGUUUAGUGAUUCCACUGGAUUCAGCAUACAGCAUCAUUGCCAGGUAAGUGAAACUCUUUUUACAAAACUCUCCAAGCUGAAACAGAAAUGAAUUUUAUUUGGGACGUUCAGUGGAAUAGCCUCGCAUUACUUUCUUCAUCUUUUACGGUUCAUUGAACUAGGUUGUUAUAUAAUCAUUUAAUGCUUGUUUUGGUGCAUUACUGGAAAAAUGGAAUUGAUUCAUUGAUGCAAUGAACACAAAGUUGGAGUCUGCAUAAAGCUAAGCGUAAUUUACUGGAAAAAAUUCUGUGGGCUUAGAGUCCUCUUUAAUGGCAUACUGUUUAAUAUGUGUGUAUGAAAUGACUUGCGUUGAAGAUAUUUUUUGUUUAAUGUGGAGGAGUUUUUAUUAAAUGUGCAUAAAUUUAUAGACAUUCAAAAGCACAUAAGCACCAACACUUACUUCAGCCCCUAAAUUGAUAAUCAAUAGUGAAUACGUUUUGAUUUAUGACUUUCUUGCAACUUUUAGUGACUUAAUUUCUUCACAAAUGUUGACCCAUUGGAAUAUCUGUGAUUGCAGGUUGAAUAUUAUGUUGAGCCCUGUAAAGCCAAUGAUGUGGCUGAUAAUGGGUGUGUCCACACCAAAAGGACCAGUGUCACGAUGCCAACCAGUGGUUACAUCAUCUAUGGCGUUGCCCAUCAGCACUCAGGGGGCAUUGGUGCAGCUCUAUACAGAAAGGUGAUUUCAAUAUCUAAUUUGCAUUCACGUGGCAUGCCUUUUCUUUUGUCUAUGUUCUACUUUCCAUUGUAAUUUUAUCAUUCUUAUCUGCUAGGUUGGUGGUAAACUGGUGAUAUAUGAAGACGUGUACUAGUUCUUGAUCUUUUUAAUUUUCUUGUUAGAUUAUGCUUUGAAAGUUAUUGUUUCUUUAGUCUGCAAAAGAAUUGUCAGAAUUUUUUAAGAUUAUGUAAAUGUUUACAACAUUAAUUAGAUGUUGAGGACAUGUGAGUGUGACAUUAUCAUAUUUCCAAAGUAGACUAUUUUUUAGCUUCUAGCUGCUUGAUUUGUUUGUCAUCCUCAAAGUUUGGAUAACAUUGAUAUUUUAUAUAUAGUGUUAUGGUCCCUGAAAUUGGUUGGAUGUUUUCCCUUUUUCUUUUGAAGAACAAUUCUUCAUUAUUCAUUUUAUGUAAUUUUUUCAGAACCCAGUGUGAUGAUUGUGGAAGGAAUUUGAUUCCCAAUGUCUUCUUCAUUGAUAUGCUUGUUUUUGGUGAAACCAGGAUGGACAACUUAUGUGUUCUUCAAUUCCAGCUUAUGGAAAUGGGAAGGAAGCUGGAAACGAGGCUGGAUAUAUUGUAGGAAUGUCGACUUGUUAUCCUAAACCAGGCUUCCUCAGGAUAACAGAUAAGGAAACUCUGAUUGUGGAAUCUAACUACAGUAGCUCCCACGAUCACACAGGAGUUAUGGGGCUUUUCUACAUUUUGGUUGCAGACAGGGUGCCCGAGUCCAGUUCAUUCUUAGAUGUUUUCAACAAGGUAAGAUUCCCUUUUCAUAUUUUUAGAUAGUGAGUUCAGCAAUACAAUUUAUUAUGCUUGUGAGCACAUGCGAAGAUACCGGAGAGCAAAAAACUUAUUCUAGAAUUGAGGAGGAAUAUUGUCUUACCUCUUUGAUUAUCGAAAUGGUAUAGAGAAUGGAUUAUAGACAGUCGUUUUGAUUAGUGUUGGUGAGAAGAUUAUUAUUUGCUGGAGUAGAAACUGUUUAAUAUGAUUCUUAGGCGAUAAUAGAACUAUAAUCCUCUUCUUGAUUUUAGCAAGAAACACCAAGCCUCUGAUAACUGCCUGGUUUUUGCAGAUGUACAAUGAUAUAAACCAUUCUGCUUUUGUUUGGGGAGCGUUUGUUUUAGCCGGAGUUGCUAUCAUUGCUGCUGCUGUGGGUUACUGGCGUAGGAAUAAGUACGAAGAUGGAUACCAACCAAUUAUGAUCUGAACUUGUUCUUAUGAGGCUUAGCCAUGUGUAUUAGACAGAAAUAAUGUUAGCUCUGUAUCAUAUGUUCUGAAACUCUCGUUUCCCUUUGCUAGAUGAGCGUGAAUAAACAGAUGAGCGUGAAUAAACCCGGGAGACUCACAGUCUUGCCCAAUAUUAUUUCUAUUACUGUUGUUAGUAAUUGGAACUGAGUGAUUAAUGUGAGCCUCUGUUGGACUUUAUGGCCAUUUCUUUCAUUUUCUCUACGACUCCUGUAGCUGCUUGUGUUCAACGCUAUUUUCACAUUUGUAAGGGACCUGUCCAAAAUUCAAAGCAUUAUUGGGUCGCUAUUUCCUGUGGCAGCUGCCAAGUUUGAGUAUCUUCGACUUAGAGGAACCACAUAUGUUACUUUUUUUUGAAAAAAAAAUUCAUUUCAUGUUUUUAGUCUGCAUGUGUGUUAUUUAAUAAUAAUCGUUGAAAGAACUGUUUUAAAUAUUUUACUUCAUCAUAGUUUCUCCUACAAUUAUGGAUCUCUGUUUCCUAGUUUUCCCCUUCUCAAACGAUCUAUAUACACGGUAAGCUCAAAGUAUGCAUGCUUCGUCAUAUAUUUAACACAAGUGUGCAUAUUGCAACUAAUAUUUUGGGAUGCAUCACACAAUAAUUUUACAAUAUAUCCAUCGUGCUUUGUGACAUUACCUUUGACUUUAUCAAUUGCAUUGUUACCAGAGAUAGUGCAUUAUUAACUAUGAUACUGUAAAGAAUUCAAUUUGAAAUCAAAUUAACAAUCGACAAUGAAUCAUAAUAUGGUCAAAUAAAAAAUAAAGAGAUACGUACUAGCUUUGAAAUGGGAAAAUAAAUAAUGAACGAAUGAUUUAGUUUUUUUUUUUCCAAAUUCUCUUUUAUGUUUAUUACUGUUGGGUUGCCCCUCUGGAAAAAUUCAUAGGUCCGGUUCAGAAAUGCAAAAUACAAUAGUAAUCACAUGGGGGUUUAAUGCAAAUAUGCAGUGAAGGAGGCACUAUGCAGAUUGUCAAUGAAUAAUGGGAAGAUGAAAUUUACGUAUAAAGGUGAACUAUUGGCACCCUUUGCGUAUCUUUUGAAACCCCUUUUCUUUAUCUAUCUCAUUAUAAUUAUUUGAAAAUUAUAAAACUCUCAUGGCAUCGUUUUAGUUUAAAAAAUAACCUUAAUUUCUUGUUGAGUUUACACCCCCUUCUUUCUCUUCACAUCUCUCUCCCCCUCAUUUGCUUACCAUUCUUUCCUCUCUCUUUCUCUUCCACUAUGAGUUCUCUCCGUCGUCAACUCUUUUUAUGGUGAUGAACAAAUUGGACUUUAUGACCAUAACAUUAUAAUUAUUAAUAUAUAUAUAUAUAUAUAUAAUAAUAAUAAUAAUAAUAAUAAAGAUUCAAUGAGAAUGAUGCAAUUGAUUGGUAUUCUUGAUUUUUUUUUUUUUGCUUCUUUAACUAAACUUAAAAGUUUCAUUACUAACCACAACAACAAUAUGAAAGAAAUUAGAAUGUUGCCGAAUUUAUUUUUUGUAAUUGUUUUAUUUUUCUAAAUUAAUUCGGAUGGGGACGAAGGCAAAUGGAAGAGAACAAUAAAAAUCAUUGGCUCUGAAAAUAUUUUUCUGUAGGAUGCCCUGCCUUCUGAAACCUCCUCAACGUUAAAUCUAUAUAUAUAUAUAUAUAUAUAUAUAUAUAGAGUCAGAGUUCAAAUUUUGUGCUUUAACUGCCGUUGCUUUGUGGAAGUCAUUUCUCCGCACCCCCUUCAUUUCUCCUUCGCAUAUCCACCUCCUGCCUUCAAGUGAUUUUUGUGGGACCAAAAUCUAAUUGUUUCAUUUUUUUUUAAAUUAUCCUCGUUCAAAUCAUAAUUAAUUUUUAUUAUUUUAAAUUUUAUUAUUUUUAUUAAAUUUUAUUAAUUUAGUUAUUAUUAAUUAUUGUUAUUAUUAUUUUUAUUAAUAUUAUCAUUAUUAACAAUUAUUGUUAUUAUUAUUGUCAAAAUUUAUUAAUUUUAUUAUUUUAAAUGUCAUUAUUAUUAUUAACUUUAUUAUUUUAGUUAUUAUUAAUUAUUGUUGUUAUUAUUUUAUUAAUAUUAUCAUUAUUAACAAUUAUUAUUAUUAUUAUUAUUGUUAUUGUUAUUAUCAUUAUUAUCAAAAUUUAUUAUUUUAAAUGUCAUUAUUAUUAUUAUUAUUAUUGACUUUAUUAUUUUAGUUAUUAUUAAUUGUUAUUAUUAUCAUUAUUAACAAUUUAUUAUUAUUAUUAUCAUUAUUAUUAUCAAAAUUUAUUAAAUUUAUUAUUUUAAAUGUCAUUAUAUUAUUAUUAUUAUUAUUGACUAUAUUAUUUUAGUUAUUAUUAAUUAUUUUUAUUUUUAUUAUUAUCAUUAUUAACAAUUUAUUAUUAUUAUUAUUAUUAUUAUUAUUAUUAUUAUUAUUAUUAUCAUCAUCAUCAAAAUUUAUUAAAUAUAUUAUUUUAAAUAUCAUUAUUAUUAUUAUUGACUAUAUUAUUUUAGUUAUUAUUUUUAUUUUUAUUAAUAUUAUCAUUAUUAACAUUUAUUAUUAUUAUUAAUUUUAUUUUUUUAAUUAAUAGCAUUUUUAUAAUAAUAUUUAUACAUGUAUCUAGUUGAUGAAAAUUGCAUUAUUUAAUACUAUGGAUAUUUUGGUAAAUUGAUUCUCAUUUCUAUUCCGCAUUCCCAUUUAUUUUGUCAAGUAAACACAUCAAUGACAUUCCAGCACAUUUCUAUUUCUAUUUAUUUUUGGCAAUCAAACAUUUCAUCUCAUUUUCAUUCCUCAUUCUCAUUCUAUGAAAUAAACGAACCAUUAUUUCUUAAUUUUUCAUUUCCGUCAAAUUUCUAAUUCAGUUAGUCACACAAAUAAAAUUACUUACUUGAAAAUCACUCCCAAAUGUACAAUGAACUUAUUUGUAGGAGCUGGCUGAGUUACAUAUUCUGUAACUUACAGAUCCAACUCCUAUUGCCUGCAUUUACACAGUUUUUCUCUCUCCUCAGGACACGUGUGUUGCUUCCCAUUGGGUGUGUACGUUACAGAUUCUGUAACGUAGGUUGGUCCCUUAUUUGUAAUGUUGUCUAUUAUUAUAGUUUAUCACUAUUAUUCCUAUCAAUCUGAGACUCUCCGUAGCACGCAACUCCCAACCGAUUUAUUUAAACGUGCUGCCAAACAACGACUCGCAUAAGAUAAAGGGAAGAACAAUCAAGAAUCAUCACUCCAUUAUCUAAUUUUUCAUGCCGUAGCCAGAACGCUUUACUAAGUAGCGACUUAAGGUCGAUGGAAGAACAAUCAAGCUGAUAUGACUAGUUUGUCAUUAUUGCUUUUCUUGACUACCACAAGAUCUAUAUCGAGGGAGGUGCUACCUUAAAUUUAAGGUACAGCUCUCUCUAAGAACCACUGCUGUAGGGAGAGUUGUACCUUAAGAUAAACUUAAGGUAGGCAAAACCUUUUGUCGGUGUCUCCAACUUUCAAUUUCUUCAACAUUUAGCUUUCCUGGAAGCAAUUAUACACACUCUACUGAUGCGACAAAAGGUGCCAAAAAAAAAAAAAAAAACUGCCCGUUGCGUCACUGCUUAGGUCAUUCUAAACCUUCAGUUCUCUGUCUGUAGUCUAUCACUUGGUGCAAAAUAGUCAAGUUCUCACGUUUUAGACGGCACGUUAAUCGGACACGCGGCUGAUCCUGUCCUUAACAGGCCAUUUUUAUUAGGCCACCUACCUUAUUACAAUGAAUGUAAAGUAUAUCUUCUUACAAAUUGAGUUGUAGGACUCAUUUGGACCCACAGCCAAUAAAGAGGAUGUACCUUACAAUCAUUGUAAGGUAGCAGCUCCCUAUUAUAUUAGUUACUUCAUUUGUGAAUGUAAUGAGAAAGAACUAAGGCGACGCACCCUCGCAGGAGCUGAAACUUUCAGUCUAUCACAGUCUGAAAAGGCCGUUGACCAUGCAAUCUGCGUACGUUGUUUGUUCUCAAAUUUGAUCGUUUGUUUUCAUUUUUCGUUCAUGUCAAGUUUCUGUAUUUGUACACAAUUAAAUGAUCACUCAUUCGCAGGUUUUGCUUUUACCUGACGCUCUUCAAUAGUUUUAUUCACUCUAGUAUUUGCGAUAUAUCUUUCUGCUUGAUGACCCAAGUUGCAUGUGAACGGAUUAGCUAUUCAUUUUACUUUGUUAAUCAGUCAAAUAUCAUAGACCCCAUCUGUUAUUACAGCAGUGAUUGCUAGGAACAGUUGAGAGUCUUUUCAAACUUUUCCAAACAUGUGUCCAAAUAGAUUGAGCUUGUACGUGAGAUAGCUGGAUUUUAUUUGCUUACAAACCUUUUUUGGGAUUAUUUAAAAAUUACAAUUACUGAUCUGGUUUCGGAUACACGAGAGUUUUUUGCUAUUAUCCAAUUUAUUUUGGUUGGAGCACGUUUUAACUGACACAAAGCCGGAAAUACCAGUUCAAUCUCAGUAACCUCUAUAAUUUGUCUCAAAUACAUUGUGUUUAGUUAUUCAUGUUCUUGGAUUUCCAAUUUCAUUUAUGGCUUAACUGAUAUAAGAAAGCUGACAGGGAUAUGAGAAAUUUUUCUCAAGGAUGGAAGAUUCUGGUAGCCAUUUUUCUGUUGGGAUUAAGCUUUCCAUACUCACAAGGUUAUAAUGUCAAAUCUAAAGUCUUUUUGUCACCUAAGUUUGUGCUGGGGCCAGGAUCCGUUGAGAAUAAAUUUUACUAUGGGAUUGACUUUCCGAGAGGUCAUAUUGCUCUAAAGAGUUUUAAUGCAGAAGUAAUUGAUGAGGCAGGAAAUCCCGUUCCUCUUCACGAGACUUAUCUCCACCAUUGGGCCGUUCAAAAAUACUAUGGACGUAAAGAUGCAGAAUUACUAGAGUAUAAUGGCAACAGACUUCUUCGUGAAUCAGAUUACAUUUCAGCGAGAAAUGAUGGCAUAUGCCAGACGAAUAUUCUUGAGCAGGAUUUUGGCCUUGGCUCUGAGACGCGAGGAACGGCAACGCAUAUUCCAGAUCCUUAUGGAUUAGAAAUUGGCAAUCCUGCUACAAUUCCUGCAGGCUAUGAAGAGAGAUGGUUUCUUAAUGUCCAUGCAAUUGAUACACGAGGUGUCGAAGAUAGGUUGGGAUGCACCGAAUGCAAGUGCGAUUUGUACAAUGUUACAUUGGAUGAGUAUGGCCAGCCACUAAAGCCAAAUUACAGAGGUGGUUUAGCGUGUUGUUACGAUGGUACGCAGUGUAGAUUGUCAAACGGUUUUGAAGGUGCCAGGAGGAGCCUCUAUUUGAGAUAUACCGUAAAGUGGGUUGAUUGGGACACUUCCAUUGUGCCUGUUAAAAUCUACAUAUUUGAUGUCACUGACAAGGAAACACGGUUUAGUGAUUCCACUGGAUUCAGCAUACAGCAUCAUUGCCAGGUAAGU